UACGUAGGUGGCAAGCGUUGUCCGGAAUUAUUGGGCGUAAAGAGCUCGUAGGCGGUUCGUCGCGUCGGCUGUGAAAACCCGGAGCUCAACUCCGGGCCUGCAGUCGAUACGGGCGGACUUGAGUGUUGCAGGGGAGACUGGAAUUCCUGGUGUAGCGGUGAAAUGCGCAGAUAUCAGGAGGAACACCGGUGGCGAAGGCGGGUCUCUGGGCAACUACUGACGCUGAGGAGCGAAAGCGUGGGGAGCGAACAGG
This 253-nucleotide ribosomal RNA is filed under the name uncultured bacterium. RNAcentral describes it as "partial 16S ribosomal RNA". It matches the Rfam family "Bacterial small subunit ribosomal RNA", at positions 524 to 776 of the family's 1533-position model. The record is from RNAcentral.